ACCAAGUUGGCUCAGUCAGUAGAGCAUGAGACUCUUAAUCUCAGGGUCAGGGGUUCAAGCCCCACACUGGACA
This 73-nucleotide transfer RNA is filed under the name Podarcis lilfordi (Lilford's wall lizard). It matches the Rfam family "tRNA". Rfam says of the family: Transfer RNA (tRNA) molecules are approximately 80 nucleotides in length. Their secondary structure includes four short double-helical elements and three loops (D, anti-codon, and T loops). The record is from Rfam by way of RNAcentral. Lineage: Eukaryota; Metazoa; Chordata; Lepidosauria; Squamata; Lacertidae.